Molecule: ribosomal RNA, 465 nt
Filed under: Vreelandella stevensii
Lineage: Bacteria; Pseudomonadati; Pseudomonadota; Gammaproteobacteria; Oceanospirillales; Halomonadaceae
Description: partial 16S ribosomal RNA
Rfam family: Bacterial small subunit ribosomal RNA
Source: RNAcentral
CCUACGGGGUGCAGCAGUGGGGAAUAUUGGACAAUGGGCGAAAGCCUGAUCCAGCCAUGCCGCGUGUGUGAAGAAGGCCUUCGGGUUGUAAAGCACUUUCAGUGGGGAAGAAAGCCUUGGGGCUAAUACCCUCGAGGAAGGACAUCACCCACAGAAGAAGCACCGGCUAACUCCGUGCCAGCAGCCGCGGUAAUACGGAGGGUGCGAGCGUUAAUCGGAAUUACUGGGCGUAAGGCGCGCGUAGGCGGUCUGAUAAGCCGGUUGUGAAAGCCCCGGGCUCAACCUGGGAACGGCAUCCGGAACUGUCAGGCUAGAGUGCAGGAGAGGAAGGUAGAAUUCCCGGUGUAGCGGUGAAAUGCGUAGAGAUCGGGAGGAAUACCAGUGGCGAAGGCGGCCUUCUGGACUGACACUGACGCUGAGGUGCGAAAGCGUGGGUAGCAAACAGGAUUAGAUACCCUUGUAGUC